GUCACCCCUAGAGUGGUUGCAGGUGUAAGUGUUCUGUCACAUGUGCAUCAGUAGGUGGGAGAGAAGAGAGAGGCUGUGUCUACACUGAGUGUUCUGAUCUGUAAACACCUGAGUGAUUAGUAGCCUAACAUU
Molecule: small nucleolar RNA, 132 nt
Organism: Grammomys surdaster
Lineage: Eukaryota; Metazoa; Chordata; Mammalia; Rodentia; Muridae
Product: small nucleolar RNA SNORA17
Exons: 1
Source: RefSeq, a predicted model, not a curated record